GUAGUACUUCCUCCGUCCGAAAAUACUUGUUAUAUAAAUGAAUGUAUCUAUAUGUUAGUUCUACAUACAUUUAUUUUUAUUAAUUUUUGCGACAAGUAAUUUCAAACGAAGGGAGUAUGCA
RNAcentral lists this microRNA precursor (121 nucleotides) under Hordeum vulgare. RNAcentral's name for it is "microRNA MIR1122". It matches the Rfam family "MIR1120/MIR1122 microRNA precursor family". Lineage: Eukaryota; Viridiplantae; Streptophyta; Magnoliopsida; Poales; Poaceae. The record is from RNAcentral.